Molecule: ribosomal RNA, 512 nt
Filed under: uncultured bacterium
Lineage: Bacteria
Description: bacterial SSU rRNA
Rfam family: Bacterial small subunit ribosomal RNA
Source: RNAcentral
UAGUCCACGCCGUAAACGAUGAAUACUAGGUGUAGGGGGUAUCGACCCCCUCUGUGCCGCAGCUAACGCAAUAAGUAUUCCGCCUGGGAGUACGGUCGCAAGAUUAAAACUCAAAGGAAUAGACGGGGACCCGCACAAGUGGUGGAGCAUGUGGUUUAAUUCGAAGAUACGCGAAGAACCUUACCUAGCCUUGACAUAUAUUAGAACACUUAGAGAUAGAGUGGUGCCUUCGGGAGCUUUUAUACAGGUGCUGCACGGCUGUCGUCAGCUCGUGUCGUGAGAUGUUGGGUUAAGUCCCGCAACGAGCGCAACCCUCGUCACUAGUUACUAACGGUUCGGCCGAGGACUCUAGUGAGACUGCCUGUUAUAAACCGGAGGAAGGCGGGGAUGACGUCAAGUCAGCAUGCCCCUUANACCCCGGGCUACACACGUGCUACAAUGGGCGAGACAAUGAGAUGCAACUCUGCGAAGAUUAGCUAAUCUAUAAACUCGUUCUAAGUUCGGAUUGUAGG